This 945-nucleotide ribosomal RNA is filed under the name Nocardiopsis sp. EGI80005. Its description in RNAcentral is "bacterial SSU rRNA". It matches the Rfam family "Bacterial small subunit ribosomal RNA", at positions 81 to 1026 of the family's 1533-position model. The record is from RNAcentral. Lineage: Bacteria; Bacillati; Actinomycetota; Actinomycetes; Streptosporangiales; Nocardiopsidaceae.
UUCGGGGUACACGAGCGGCGAACGGGUGAGUAACACGUGAGCAACCUGCCCCUGACUCUGGGAUAAGCGGUGGAAACGCCGUCUAAUACCGGAUACGACCGGCCACCUCAUGGUGGCGGGUGGAAAGUUUUUCGGUCAGGGAUGGGCUCGCGGCCUAUCAGCUUGUUGGUGGGGUAACGGCCUACCAAGGCGAUUACGGGUAGCCGGCCUGAGAGGGCGACCGGCCACACUGGGACUGAGACACGGCCCAGACUCCUGCGGGAGGCAGCAGUGGGGAAUAUUGCGCAAUGGGCGAAAGCCUGACGCAGCGACGCCGCGUGGGGGAUGACGGCCUUCGGGUUGUAAACCUCUUUUACCACCAACGCAGGCUCCCAGUUCUCUGGGGGUUGACGGUAGGUGGGGAAUAAGGACCGGCUAACUACGUGCCAGCAGCCGCGGUAAUACGUAGGGUCCGAGCGUUGUCCGGAAUUAUUGGGCGUAAAGAGCUCGUAGGCGGCGUGUCGCGUCUGCUGUGAAAGACCGGGGCUUAACUCCGGUUCUGCAGUGGAUACGGGCAUGCUAGAGGUAGGUAGGGGAGACUGGAAUUCCUGGUGUAGCGGUGAAAUGCGCAGAUAUCAGGAGGAACACCGGUGGCGAAGGCGGGUCUCUGGGCCUUACCUGACGCUGAGGAGCGAAAGCAUGGGGAGCGAACAGGAUUAGAUACCCUGGUAGUCCAUGCCGUAAACGUUGGGCGCUAGGUGUGGGGACUUUCCACGGUUUCCGCGCCGUAGCUAACGCAUUAAGCGCCCCGCCUGGGGAGUACGGCCGCAAGGCUAAAACUCAAAGGAAUUGACGGGGGCCCGCACAAGCGGCGGAGCAUGUUGCUUAAUUCGACGCAACGCGAAGAACCUUACCAAGGUUUGACAUCACCCGUGGACCUGCAGAGAUGUGGGGUCAUUUAGUUGG